Molecule: transfer RNA, 86 nt
Filed under: Colwellia sp. Arc7-635
Lineage: Bacteria; Pseudomonadati; Pseudomonadota; Gammaproteobacteria; Alteromonadales; Colwelliaceae
Description: tRNA-Asn
Rfam family: tRNA
About the family: Transfer RNA (tRNA) molecules are approximately 80 nucleotides in length. Their secondary structure includes four short double-helical elements and three loops (D, anti-codon, and T loops).
Source: RNAcentral
UCCUCAAUAGCUCAGUUGGUAGAGCAACGGACUGUGCUGUUAACAAAUAGCGUUUGCCCCUGAUUCAAGUCCAGGUUGAGGAGCUA